Neolamprologus brichardi is the source of this 1081-nucleotide non-coding RNA. Lineage: Eukaryota; Metazoa; Chordata; Actinopteri; Cichliformes; Cichlidae. The record is from RefSeq and is a predicted model, not a curated record.
UAUUUUGAACCGCCAAUCAUGCAAAGCUGCUUUCUGGAGCUGACUAUGACUGCUGUGAUUUUUUCCUUCAUGGCAUCAUUCCUUUGCUCUCUCUCCUUUCUCUCCCUCCAGCAGAUUUGUCCCAGGACCACGAUGCAAUGUUUUGCUUCUGAGAUUAUUGUCCUCAUGCGUGAGUGGCAGCUCGAGGCCAAGUGGAAGAAAUUGAAUAGAUUGCUGACUAGACUGGCGUCCAUGACAAACCAGACGGCGCCAAAGUGUCGUCGUUGUGAGGUCAUGAAGGAGCAAAAUGCAACGACCUUUCUUGAACAUCUUCUAUGGACUGUUGAGAAAUCUAACAGUGACUACUGUUAGGACUUUCAGGAGAGACUACAUGGCAUGACUUUCUUUUCGUUAACUUUCUAUUAAACCUCCUGCACACAAAUAAAGUGCAGAAUGCAUGAUGCAGCUCGGUGGUGUUUGAGGUACAGCUAGAGGCUAAUGCGGAGUUCUGGGUGGAAAAAGCUUGCUUGUGGUCUCAUAUCAACUCAUCAGCCAACAUAACAUCUCACUGAUGACGUCAUAAAGAAGACACAGUCAGGUCCCAACUAAGCUGCAGUCAGAUGCUGAGAGCACGCUGGUCACUUUAAUGUGCUUUAAAUAUCUGUAUUUGUAUCUGCUAAUAAUGAGUAUUAUUAUAUUAAUAAGGCUUCUACCAAGCAGUUGGACAGUGGCCUUGGUAAACUGAUGGAAGAACACCAAGGAUGGCGGGAGGAAAACAGAUCUGUCUACAUAUUUCACAACCACAGACACAGAAAUGUGCGACAGUUUCCGAGCAUGUGGGACUUCCUGAGGAUCGCACAACUGGCUCCGUCGAAAGCCACUGCCACAUUAUUCAUGCAUCAGACCUUAUAAGGCAAUGGACAGCUGCAAGGACAGCACUGCUUACGCCUACUGUGGCCAAAAUAUGCUCCUAUACAGCUCUGACGUAAACCUCAUGAACAUGUAAAGCUUUUUCCACUUGUCUAAUAAGCUCAUUCUCUCCCUGCUUUGAUCUGAUGUUCCUGUAUUUAGUUCAGUACAAUAAACUUCAUUUUGAAUGUAA